CUGUAAAAAUUUCAUUCAUUUGUACUGUUAAAACUUGGUGUGGCUGACAGAAUAACCGGACAGUGGCAUGUGAUUUGCCACAUGUACCUCAUACUUAUGUACAUAGACUGGUUUUGAUAGUAAAAAUAAUGAAACUUUUAA
RNAcentral lists this microRNA precursor (141 nucleotides) under Gossypium hirsutum (cotton). RNAcentral describes it as "MIR7502 microRNA precursor family". It matches the Rfam family "MIR7502 microRNA precursor family". The record is from Rfam by way of RNAcentral. Lineage: Eukaryota; Viridiplantae; Streptophyta; Magnoliopsida; Malvales; Malvaceae.